Molecule: ribosomal RNA, 253 nt
Filed under: uncultured bacterium
Lineage: Bacteria
Description: partial 16S ribosomal RNA
Rfam family: Bacterial small subunit ribosomal RNA
Source: RNAcentral
UACGAAGGGGGCUAGCGUUGCUCGGAAUCACUGGGCGUAAAGCGCACGUAGGCGGCUUUUUAAGUCAGGGGUGAAAUCCUGGAGCUCAACUCCAGAACUGCCUUUGAUACUGGGAAGCUCGAGUCCGGGAGAGGUGAGUGGAACUCCGAGUGUAGAGGUGAAAUUCGUAGAUAUUCGGAAGAACACCAGUGGCGAAGGCGGCUCACUGGCCCGGUACUGACGCUGAGGAGCGAAAGCGUGGGGAGCGAACAGG